This is a long non-coding RNA of Mauremys reevesii (Reeves's turtle), 1228 nucleotides long. RefSeq lists it as uncharacterized. NCBI's taxonomy places the organism in Eukaryota, Metazoa, Chordata, Testudines, Geoemydidae. The transcript is spliced from 3 exons. The record is from RefSeq and is a predicted model, not a curated record.
CCGGGCUCAACAGUCGGUGCGCGGUUUAUUUACGCCCCGCGCGGUGCAGAAUGCUCGUCCCGAGCAGCGGGGACACCCUCGGCCCCAGCGGGCGCUCGCCGCGCGUCUGCCGGGCCAGCUGUAGAUGUAGAACUCCUUUCUUCUUUCAAAUGAGGAAAUACCCAGAGAGUGGAGUGUGGUAUUUGAGUCCUUUGAUAUGACUAACAUCUCUAUCUCCAAUCAAUCCUCACAAGGAACUUCUGGAACAUCAUGAUGUCUGUUGCUGGUAUCGAAUGCUGGGGCUACUGCAUCAUCAGGUGACAAAGACAAAAAGUGCUUUGGAUCUGUCUCUGUAUCUGGCUCUUCCUGGUAGUCUGGUGUAGGAAUGCUAAUGGGGAGUGACGUCUUCCUCUUGAGUGUGGUUGAGACUGACAUCUCAAUGCCUGCGAUAGUGGACCCCUGUACCACCAAUAAGGACACUGGCAUACCAAAAGAAUACAGCUGUCUUGUUGGGUAUUGGCCAGUCCACAGCUAUUCCUUACAGACUGGAGGCAGUUGAGCCCUGUAGGGUAACCUGGGAGGUACAUCCAUAGUGUCAAUAACUGACCUCAGAGGAGCGACGAGGAGAAUGUAUGCCCUGGUAAUGGUGAGCAGUAGACCACUGUCAUGUGCCAAAGUAUAUGGGACUGUUGGUAUUAGAGUCGAUAAAUGUCUCAGCUGAGAUGACGGUCUUGGUUCUCUGGGCUUAUCCUCCAAAGUGAGCAUUGACUCCGAUGAAUGGGUCAUUGUAGCUGGGGUCGGUGCUAGAGUUGUUUGCUACAUCGUAUACUGCUUUUCCUCAACCCUUGACACCAUGUGGGGCAUUGUGGGAUUUAUCUCCGGAGGCUUUAUGGCGUCUGUCCUUAUGGGAUGAAACAGAUCCCUCUGGAAUCUCUGUAUUUGAAGAUACUUCUUUGAUACCAGAAGUGUUGGUACCAGCAUUGAUGCCAAUGAUGUUGAAGAUGGCUUUGAUGCCAGUGCUAGAUUUUGCACUGGUCUUUAAUGUUGCUUGUCUUCUAGGUGGGAUGCUGGAUGAAGCUAGAAGAAUUCCGGAAUUUGUCUCCCCAGGAUCUGAAACCUUCAUGGACUGUGCCAGAAAAUGGAGCUUUAGCCUCAUAUCUCGCAACUUGCACAUUCUCAUGGAGAGUGACAAGUAUACCGAGAUGAUGUUCCAUCUAUGAGUCCUGCUGUGUCCUCCUUUUGGGGGAGU